This 106-nucleotide unclassified non-coding RNA is filed under the name Chryseobacterium arachidis. RNAcentral describes it as "Flavo-1 RNA". Lineage: Bacteria; Pseudomonadati; Bacteroidota; Flavobacteriia; Flavobacteriales; Weeksellaceae. The record is from RNAcentral.
UUCUAGCCCCGAUUGAACGGCAUGUUUGAGCUCUUUUCGGGUUUAGGCGGCGGCUUUUAGCCGCCGCCUAAACCCGAAAAAGCGAGUAGUGAAAGCGGGAAAUAGC